GACGAACGCUGGCGGCGUGCCUAAUACAUGCAAGUAGAACGCUGAAGAGAGGAGCUUGCUCUUCUUGGAUGAGUUGCGAACGGGUGAGUAACGCGUAGGUAACCUGCCUUGUAGCGGGGGAUAACUAUUGGAAACGAUAGCUAAUACCGCAUAACAAUGGAUGACACAUGUCAUUUAUUUGAAAGGGGCAAUUGCUCCACUACAAGAUGGACCUGCGUUGUAUUAGCUAGUAGGUGAGGUAACGGCUCACCUAGGCGACGAUACAUAGCCGACCUGAGAGGGUGAUCGGCCACACUGGGACUGAGACACGGCCCAGACUCCUACGGGAGGCAGCAGUAGGGAAUCUUCGGCAAUGGGGGCAACCCUGACCGAGCAACGCCGCGUGAGUGAAGAAGGUUUUCGGAUCGUAAAGCUCUGUUGUAAGUCAAGAACGAGUGUGAGAGUGGAAAGUUCACACUGUGACGGUAGCUUACCAGAAAGGGACGGCUAACUACGUGCCAGCAGCCGCGGUAAUACGUAGGUCCCGAGCGUUGUCCGGAUCUAUUGGGCGUAAAGCGAGCGCAGGCGGUUUGAUAAGUCUGAAGUUAAAGGCUGUGGCUCAACCAUAGUUCGCUUUGGAAACUGUCAAACUUGAGUGCAGAAGGGGAGAGUGGAAUUCCAUGUGUAGCGGUGAAAUGCGUAGAUAUAUGGAGGAACACCGGUGGCGAAAGCGGCUCUCUGGUCUGUAACUGACGCUGAGGCUCGAAAGCGUGGGGAGCGAACAGGAUUAGAUACCCUGGUAGUCCACGCCGUAAACGAUGAGUGCUAGGUGUUGGAUCCUUUCCGGGAUUCAGUGCCGCAGCUAACGCAUUAAGCACUCCGCCUGGGGAGUACGACCGCAAGGUUGAAACUCAAAGGAAUUGACGGGGGCCCGCACAAGCGGUGGAGCAUGUGGUUUAAUUCGAAGCAACGCGAAGAACCUUACCAGGUCUUGACAUCCCGAUGCUAUUUCUAGAGAUAGAAAGUUACUUCGGUACAUCGGUGACAGGUGGUGCAUGGUUGUCGUCAGCUCGUGUCGUGAGAUGUUGGGUUAAGUCCCGCAACGAGCGCAACCCCUAUUGUUAGUUGCCAUCAUUCAGUUGGGCACUCUAGCGAGACUGCCGGUAAUAAACCGGAGGAAGGUGGGGAUGACGUCAAAUCAUCAUGCCCCUUAUGACCUGGGCUACACACGUGCUACAAUGGUUGGUACAACGAGUUGCGAGUCGGUGACGGCAAGCUAAUCUCUUAAAGCCAAUCUCAGUUCGGAUUGUAGGCUGCAACUCGCCUACAUGAAGUCGGAAUCGCUAGUAAUCGCGGAUCAGCACGCCGCGGUGAAUACGUUCCCGGGCCU
RNAcentral lists this ribosomal RNA (1369 nucleotides) under uncultured bacterium. Its description in RNAcentral is "bacterial SSU rRNA". It matches the Rfam family "Bacterial small subunit ribosomal RNA", at positions 28 to 1381 of the family's 1533-position model. The record is from RNAcentral.